Molecule: long non-coding RNA, 1185 nt
Organism: Pogonomyrmex barbatus (red harvester ant)
Lineage: Eukaryota; Metazoa; Arthropoda; Insecta; Hymenoptera; Formicidae
Source: RefSeq, a predicted model, not a curated record
UUCGUCCUCGCGAUCCUGCGAACAGAUUUUUCCGAACGCUCGACACGACCACAAGUCUCAUAGUUUCCUUAAAGUGCGUGAUAAAACAUUGUGUCUACGAAAGGAUUGCUAGCUCUAUAAAUCUGAAUCAUCGAACGAGGAUUAUUAAUAAAGUCAAAGAAAACUAGUCUUCUCGAUUACGUUUCCCGAGGCAUUUUUUUUCCUGGAAAACGCGUGAAAGCACUGAACAUUCGCCCACAACAGUAAUCAACAAAAUAUUAUAAAUAUAAUAAAAUAUAUAUUACGAAGAAUUAGAAAAAGGAACAUGUAUAUAUAUAUGAAAGUGAUCCUUAGUUUCAUUGCGUUGUGAAAAACGUAUGGAACGCAGAACUAGUUACACGUUUAUAUUUAUCGCAAGCGCAUUGCAUGACUCACGAACGCGGAAGGAUAAUGCAUUAAUAACGACGUUAUCUUAGACGGUAUUAUGUAAAUAAUCGAUUGAAGCUGUCCUUGAGACAAAGAUAAUACGAUAAUCGUUUUGGAUGAAAGAGUGCACGGACAAAUAUUUGAUUCCAUUCCUAAGAAGAUGAAAAAUGACAGCAUAAAAAAGAGCCCUAUUGUCAUUAGCCUUUUGCAAUUGCAAUUAGCAAAUGCGAACAUUGAGAGUGAAAAAAGUGAAUUGAUUAAUAAAUUCACUUAUAUUGUGAUAUUGUGUUACAUAAAUUUUUAUCUGCAGAUUUUCUGUAGUUGGAGACUUUUGAAAAUUUAAUAAUCCGAUAUUAUAUGGUUAUGUGAUAUCAGAUACCAUAUAAUACAAAUUAUAUAAGCUGUUUUUUUUCUGAAUGUUUAAUAGUGUUCACAUAUAAACUCCAACUCUCUGAAUUCUCUGAGUUGACGUCAUCCCAAUUAGCUGACGCAAAUCUAUUUAAGACAACGCUUGGAAUAGAAGAAUCAAAACACGAAUGAAGAGGUAGCUAGUAUGUGCGUAUUACUGUAUGAGUAUUAAUUUAGCUGUGCAUAAAAUUUGCACAACUAUAAGUCUUCAUGAGCAGUCGCAUAAGUCUUCAGAACUUAAAGUGUACUUAAAGUGUACUUAAAGGAAUUGGCUUAAAUAUAUGAUUUAAAAUAAUCUAUGCAGAAAUUCUUGAGAAAGGAAAACGAUGAUUGAACAUAUCAAUGAUGAAUAGAAUUAUAUUUUUAUAGAAA